This 366-nucleotide ribosomal RNA is filed under the name uncultured eukaryote. RNAcentral's name for it is "partial 18S ribosomal RNA". It matches the Rfam family "Eukaryotic small subunit ribosomal RNA", at positions 592 to 976 of the family's 1831-position model. The record is from RNAcentral.
CAAUAGCGUAUAUUUAAGUUGUUGCAGUUAAAAAGCUCGUAGUUGAAUUUCUGGUGGGCGCGCCGGUCUUCCAAGUGUUGUACUGGGCGCAGUCCGCCAUCCUUGUGGAGAGGGCUCGCAUUGAGUUGCGUGUCGGAUCUGCAUCAUUUACUGUGAAAAAAUUAGAGUGUUUAAAGCAGGCUGUCGCUUGAAUACAUUAGCAUGGAAUAAUAAGAUAGGACUUCGGUCUAUUUUGCUGGUUGCGAACCGAGGUAAUGAUUAAUAGGGAUAGUUGGGGGUAUUCAUAUUUAAUUGUCAGAGGUGAAAUUCUUGGAUUUAUGAAAGAUGAACAACUGCGAAAGCAUUUACCAAGGAUGUUUNCAUUAA